GCGGGUGUAGCUCAGGGGUAGAGCACAACCUUGCCAAGGUUGGGGUCGUGGGUUCGAAUCCCAUCACCCGCUCCA
RNAcentral lists this transfer RNA (75 nucleotides) under Gluconobacter oxydans. RNAcentral's name for it is "tRNA-Gly". It matches the Rfam family "tRNA". Rfam says of the family: Transfer RNA (tRNA) molecules are approximately 80 nucleotides in length. Their secondary structure includes four short double-helical elements and three loops (D, anti-codon, and T loops). Lineage: Bacteria; Pseudomonadati; Pseudomonadota; Alphaproteobacteria; Acetobacterales; Acetobacteraceae. RNAcentral also lists the same sequence under 32 other names. The record is from RNAcentral.